CACGCAGGCGGUUCCGAAAGUCGAAUGUGAAAGCUCCCGGCCCAACUGGGAGAGGCCGUUCGAAACUUCGGGACUUGAAGGCGGGAGAGGCAGAUGGAAUUUCCGGUGUAGCGGUAAAAUGCGUAGAUACCGGAAGGAACACCAGUGGCGAAAGCGAUCUGCUGGCCCGCCCUUGACGCUCAGGUGCGAAAGCUAGGGGAGCGACCGGGAUUAGAUACCCCGUUAGUCCUAGCUGUAAACAAUGGGCACUAGGUGUUGUCGGUAUCGACCCCGGCAGUGCCGAAGCUAACGCAUUAAGUGCCCCGCCUGGGGAGUACGACCGCAAGGUUAAA
Molecule: ribosomal RNA, 332 nt
Filed under: uncultured Thermacetogenium sp.
Lineage: Bacteria; Bacillati; Bacillota; Clostridia; Thermoanaerobacterales; Thermoanaerobacteraceae
Description: bacterial SSU rRNA
Rfam family: Bacterial small subunit ribosomal RNA
Source: RNAcentral